RNAcentral lists this ribosomal RNA (373 nucleotides) under uncultured organism. RNAcentral's name for it is "partial 16S ribosomal RNA". It matches the Rfam family "Bacterial small subunit ribosomal RNA", at positions 527 to 896 of the family's 1533-position model. The record is from RNAcentral.
GGAAGGUGCAAGCGUUAAUCGGAAUUACUGGGGCGUAAAGCGCGCGUAGGCGGCUAGAUAAGUCGGGUGUGAAAGCCCUGGGGCUCAACCUGGGAACUGCAUUCGAUACUGUCUAGCUAGAGUGUGGUAGAGGGAGGCGGAAUUCCGCAUGUAGCGGUGAAAUGCGUAGAGAUGCGGAGGAACACCAAUGGCGAAGGCAGCCUUCUGGACCAACACUGACGCUGAGGCGCGAAAGCGUGGGGAGCAAACAGGAUUAGAUACCCUGGUAGUCCACGCCGUAAACGAUGUCAACUAGCCGUUGGGAGCAUUUUGGCUCUUGGUGGCGCAGCUAACGCGAUAAGUUGACCGCCUGGGGAGUACGGUCGCAAGAUUA